RNAcentral lists this long non-coding RNA (623 nucleotides) under Fukomys damarensis (Damara mole-rat). RNAcentral's name for it is "lncRNA (ENSFDAG00000027721.1)". The record is from RNAcentral. Lineage: Eukaryota; Metazoa; Chordata; Mammalia; Rodentia; Bathyergidae.
CUCCUUUGUCAUAAAGCCAGGUGUGGUGAUGACAGGCAAGCCGCUACAUCCCAGGCCCAGCAAGCAGACCUGGCACAUUGGCUACCACAUGAGGCCAACCUUGGGCACAGGGUAAGGGCUGGGCCUUUCUGGUCCUACAAAUCUGAACAAUCUGUAAGUUUAAUUUUGUCACCAUGGCAAGGCAAAUCAAAGGGACUCUGAGGAAGCCACACAGAAUGAAAGAACAGGGAACAACUUCGCUAACUAUGGGAUGACACCAUUUGGGAAUCCAAAGAUCAGCAUCUAAAAGGAAAAAAAAAAACAGGAAGAAUCCCAUGGAGAAACAGCAGAUUGGAAUCCAGAAAUUUGAGACCUCGGUGGCUGUGAGCUCUAAAAUCUCAGCUGGCGACACCAAGCUUAUUUCUUUGAUCUUCAACUCUUUGUUCCUGACUGAUAAACUUUUCCUCUACCCCUUCCAACCUGUAUUUGUCUCUGGAUCACCCAGUCCUACUUACAGAUAUGUUUUCCAAAAUAUUGAAAUUGGAAGCAAGCAUUAUAUCCAAAAUCUCAUCACAAGUUCAAUGACAAUGGUACAUGCAAGAGGUAGCAACCUCAAAGGAUUGAGAACCAUCUCCAAGGUGUGA